This 472-nucleotide ribosomal RNA is filed under the name uncultured bacterium. RNAcentral's name for it is "SSU rRNA". It matches the Rfam family "Bacterial small subunit ribosomal RNA", at positions 26 to 518 of the family's 1533-position model. The record is from RNAcentral.
AGGACGAACGCUGGCGGCGUGCUUAACACAUGCAAGUCGAGCGGAAAGGCCCUUCGGGGUACUCGAGCGGCGAACGGGUGAGUAACACGUGAGCAACCUGCCCUUAGCUCCGGGAUAGCUCCGGGAAACCGGAAUUAAUACCGGAUAUGACCUAGGCCGACAUCGGCUGUGGUGGAAAGUUUUUCGGCUGGGGAUGGACUCGCGGCCUAUCAGCUUGUUGGUGGGGUAAUGGCCUACCAAGGCGACGACGGGUAGCCGGCCUGAGAGGGCGACCGGCCACACUGGGACUGAGACACGGCCCAGACUCCUACGGGAGGCAGCAGUGGGGAAUCUUGCGCAAUGGGCGAAAGCCUGACGCAGCGACGCCGCGUGGGGGAUGAAGGCCUUCGGGUUGUAAACCCUUUCAGCAGGGACGAAGCGAAGUGACGGUACCUGCAGAAGAAGCGCCGGCUAACUACGCGCCAGCAGCCGC